Haliotis rufescens (red abalone) is the source of this 1489-nucleotide RNA transcript. It is a transcript of the gene named aldo-keto reductase family 1 member B1-like, with no coding region annotated. NCBI's taxonomy places the organism in Eukaryota, Metazoa, Mollusca, Gastropoda, Lepetellida, Haliotidae. The record is from RefSeq and is a predicted model, not a curated record. The transcript is spliced from 10 exons.
UCACAUCUGUUUAUACAACAUGGCGUCUGCUGUUCCAAGUAUACGGCUCAACACUAGCUAUUCUUUUCCGGUGUUAGGAUUCGGGACGUUUGCAAACAGGAAGGAAGGCAUGAUGUUGCCCGCAGUUAAAGCUGCUAUAUCAUGUGGCUAUCGGCAUAUCGACACAGCUUGGUACUAUACAACGGAACCGGAAGUAGGUGGCGCCAUCAAAGAGAAGAUAGCGGACGGUACAGUGACGAGGGAUCAGCUCUUUGUGACAUCGAAGUUAUGGAAUACCUUUCAUGAGCCCUCCAAAGUUGAACGCAUGUGCAGAGAUUCACUACGUGACCUUCAACUUGACUACCUUGACCUUUACCUCAUGCACUGGCCGAUGGGCCAUGAAGAUAAUGAAUCUUCAAGAGGACAUUUUACUCAAGCUACAUUUGUCCCGACUGAUGUGGACUACUUGGAGACCUGGCAGGCAAUGGAAGAUCUGAUUGACAGGGGUCUGGUAAGGUCUAUUGGGGUUGCCAAUUUCAACCUGGGGCAGCUGGAGCGCCUCCUGAACAUGCCCAGCAUCCGCUAUCAACCGGCUGUGCUGCAGAUCGAAGUGACGCCAUAUCUCACCAACGAGGAACUCUUGGAAUUCUGCAGUGCUCAUGGAACUACAGUGACGGGGUAUUCCCCACUUGGCGGCCCGAAUAUGAUAUAUACACCAUCAAAUGCGCCAAGUCUGAUGGAGAACCCAAGGAUUGUGGAGACUGCCAGGAAAUGCGAUAAAACACCUGCUCAGAUUCUUCUGAGGUGGGGAAUACAGCGUGGCUAUGCCGUCAUACCCAGCAGUGUGAUACCCCAGUACAUCACAGAGAAUGUGCAGGUGUUCGACUUUGCUCUCAGUGGCGAGGAUAUGAAGAAGAUUACUUCUCUCAACCGCAACUACAGAUUCAACCCGACUUCCCAGUCAGUAUGCUCCUGUCGUGUUGUAGUGCUGCUCGAGUGAGUGAGGGAAUGUCAUUUAGUGCCAGUCUGCAGUACUUCAGCUACACACGGCAGCUUGAAGUUAUUGACCCUGGGACAGAUGAACCAGUGAUUGAUAUCAGGAACGUUUGACGCCGUCGGGGUGUGCUUACACGCAAACAACCAGGACAAGGCCCGACCAGCCAAUCCUCUUCCGGUGCACCUCACACGCAGCUUAGUGUCGAGGGACAUGGGAUAUACAUGUAAUCUCUCGAGGAAGAGAGAUCUCAAGUGUCAUGCUGUAUAUAUUCUAAUCAGAUUCAAAGAUCACCCUUAUUAUCCUUUCAAAUGAGACUGGACAUCACCUGGACGUUCGCCUUCCCUGGAAUACUGGUUCACGCCUAAAAGGAGUAUCAUAUAUACUUAGCAAAAUAAGUAAGGGAUCAUGACUCGCCGGAUAUUUUUGUGUGGUGAGUUUCUUUAAAUGUGUGCGGUGUAUAAAAACAUUUCAUGAUCCCUAACUUGUUUUGUUUAUUGAUAUCUGAUUAAAAAC